UACGGAGGGGGCGAGCGUUAUUCGGAAUUAUUGGGCGUAAAGGGCGCGUAGGCGGCUUCUUAAGUCAAAGGUGAAAUCCCUCGGCUCAACUGAGGAACUGCCUUUGAAACUGGGGAGCUUGAGUCCGGGAGGGGGUAGCGGAAUUCCCAGUGUAGCGGUGAAAUGCGUAGAUAUCCGGAGGAACACCGGUGGCGAAGGCGGUCAACUGGCCCGAAACUGACGCUGAGGCACGAAAGCGUGGGUAGCGAACAGG
This 253-nucleotide ribosomal RNA is filed under the name uncultured bacterium. RNAcentral's name for it is "partial 16S ribosomal RNA". It matches the Rfam family "Bacterial small subunit ribosomal RNA", at positions 524 to 776 of the family's 1533-position model. The record is from RNAcentral.